UACGGAGGAUCCAAGCGUUAUCCGGAUUUAUUGGGUUUAAAGGGUGCGUAGGCGGCCUGUUAAGUCAGGGGUGAAAGACGGUAGCUCAACUAUCGCAGUGCCCUUGAUACUGAUGGGCUUGAAUGGACUAGAGGUAGGCGGAAUGAGACAAGUAGCGGUGAAAUGCAUAGAUAUGUCUCAGAACACCGAUUGCGAAGGCAGCUUACUAUGGUCUUAUUGACGCUGGGGCACGAAAGCGUGGGGAUCAAACAGG
This 253-nucleotide ribosomal RNA is filed under the name uncultured bacterium. Its description in RNAcentral is "partial 16S ribosomal RNA". It matches the Rfam family "Bacterial small subunit ribosomal RNA", at positions 524 to 776 of the family's 1533-position model. The record is from RNAcentral.